Oncorhynchus mykiss (rainbow trout) is the source of this 621-nucleotide non-coding RNA. The record is from RefSeq and is a predicted model, not a curated record. NCBI's taxonomy places the organism in Eukaryota, Metazoa, Chordata, Actinopteri, Salmoniformes, Salmonidae.
CUUUGUGUCUCAAUAUCGCUCUCUCUCUCUCGGCCUCUGGAUUGAGCGCUUUUGUUUUAGCACCUCCAUAUCACUUUGUCCCCACCUCCUCCACCUCCUGCAGAGAUAGAUAGACACUAUGCUUUCCCCUACUGUACCUGCCUGCCUUCACCGCCUGUCCCCUGACGCGCCUCGCACACAUCCUGAGCAAUCUGCGCCCACUGACCUGGCUGACUGUCAGCCCUGAGGAGAUGGAGUGCCCGGCUUCAUGUGGCGGGAUGAGGGAUGCACGGCCAUCCUAACAUCUGUGUGCCCUGUGGGAACUACGAGGCAGCACUUUGCAGGAAAGUCAGACUAGUGGUGUGAUACCCUGAGCCCCAGUAAGGAUACACUGACAGAAAGGGUAGAAUAGCACUUAGCACAACAAAUUGUUCAGGGUGCUGCUCUCUGCUCUGGAGACCUAUUGUUGGAUAAAAUCAUAUUUGUUUUCUUUCAAAUGUUUAGCUGUGCUUGAUUGGGUUUGUUUGGCACUGUCACACCCUGAUCUGUUUCACCUGUCCUUGUGAUUGUCUCCACCCCCUCCAGGUGUCGCUGAUUUUCCCCAGUGUAUUUAUUCCUCUGUUUCCUGUCUCUCUGUGCCAG